Molecule: non-coding RNA, 28 nt
Filed under: Cricetulus griseus (Chinese hamster)
Lineage: Eukaryota; Metazoa; Chordata; Mammalia; Rodentia; Cricetidae
Source: RNAcentral
UAAGAGGUGGCAGAACCCAGGAAGCAUG